This 405-nucleotide ribosomal RNA is filed under the name uncultured bacterium. Its description in RNAcentral is "bacterial SSU rRNA". It matches the Rfam family "Bacterial small subunit ribosomal RNA", at positions 359 to 776 of the family's 1533-position model. The record is from RNAcentral.
GAAUAUUGGACAAUGGGCGAAAGCCUGAUCCAGCAACGCCGCGUGAGGGAUGACGGCCUUCGGGUUGUAAACCUCUUUCAGCAGGGACGAAGCGCAAGUGACGGUACCUGCAGAAGAAGCACCGGCCAACUACGUGCCAGCAGCCGCGGUAAUCCGUAGGGUGCGAGCGUUGUCCGGAAUUAUUGGGCGUAAAGGGCUCGUAGGCGGUUUGUCGCGUCGGGAGUGAAAACUCAGGGCUUAACCCUGAGCCUGCUUCCGAUACGGGCAGACUAGAGGUAUGCAGGGGAGAACGGAAUUCCUGGUGUAGCGGUGAAAUGCGCAGAUAUCAGGAGGAACACCGGUGGCGAAGGCGGUUCUCUGGGCAUUACCUGACGCUGAGGAGCGAAAGUGUGGGGAGCGAACAGG